GCGAAUUACAUAGAGGGGCUGGAAGGGAAAUUUUCCCUUCUCCUCUAAAACGGCGCCGUUCAAAUGGAUCAAAUUGGAAUUUAAAAUAAAUAAAAGGGUAAAUUAAAAAAAUAAAAAAACUUAAUUACAAAAACAUUAAAAGGCGAAGGGGCUAAAUAAAAAAUAAAUAAAUAAAAUUCGCAGUGGUAUCACCUUCUCCUUUUUUUUUAAAUCGUAAAUAAGUAAAAAAUAAUCGAACGAAAAAAAUAGUAAGCCACCUUUAAAAAACUGCCAAUCGUUCUCUUUUUUU
This 289-nucleotide long non-coding RNA is filed under the name Gossypium raimondii (Peruvian cotton). RNAcentral describes it as "long non-coding RNA (GRAI_LNC008690)". Lineage: Eukaryota; Viridiplantae; Streptophyta; Magnoliopsida; Malvales; Malvaceae. The record is from RNAcentral.